This 23-nucleotide non-coding RNA is filed under the name Arabidopsis thaliana (thale cress). The record is from RNAcentral. Lineage: Eukaryota; Viridiplantae; Streptophyta; Magnoliopsida; Brassicales; Brassicaceae.
GCUGAAGUAGCGGUGUGGGAAGC